AUUGAACGCUGGCGGCAGGCCUAACACAUGCAAGUCGAACGGUAGCACAGAGAGCUUGCUCUCGGGUGACGAGUGGCGGACGGGUGAGUAACGUCUGGGGAACUGCCCGAUGGAGGGGGAUAACUACUGGAAACGGUAGCUAAUACCGCAUAACGUCGCAAGACCAAAGUGGGGGACCUUCGGGCCUCACACCAUCGGAUGUGCCCAGAUGGGAUUAGCUAGUAGGUGGGGUAAUGGCUCACCUAGGCGACGAUCCCUAGCUGGUCUGAGAGGAUGACCGGCCACACUGGAACUGAGACACGGCCCAGACUCCUACGGGAGGCAGCAGUGGGGAAUAUUGCACAAUGGGCGCAAGCCUGAUGCAGCCAUGCCGCGUGUAUGAAGAAGGCCUUCGGGUUGUAAAGUACUUUCAGCGGGGAGGAAGGCGGUGAAGUUAAUAGCUUCACCGAUUGACGUUACCCGCAGAAGAAGCACCGGCUAACUCCGUGCCAGCCGCCGCAGUAA
RNAcentral lists this ribosomal RNA (504 nucleotides) under uncultured bacterium. RNAcentral describes it as "partial 16S ribosomal RNA". It matches the Rfam family "Bacterial small subunit ribosomal RNA", at positions 29 to 523 of the family's 1533-position model. The record is from RNAcentral.